UCCGUAGGUGGAUAAUUAAGUCAGAGGUGAAAGUUUGCAGCUCAACUGUAAAAUUGCCUUUGAUACUGGUUAUCUUGAGUUAUUGUGAAGUAGUUAGAAUAUGUAGUGUAGCGGUGAAAUGCAUAGAUAUUACAUAGAAUACCAAUUGCGAAGGCAGAUUACUAACAAUAUACUGACACUGAUGGCCGAAAGCGUGGGUAGCGAACAGGAUUAGAUACCCUGGUAGUCC
This 229-nucleotide ribosomal RNA is filed under the name uncultured bacterium. RNAcentral's name for it is "partial 16S ribosomal RNA". It matches the Rfam family "Bacterial small subunit ribosomal RNA", at positions 568 to 796 of the family's 1533-position model. The record is from RNAcentral.